GACGAACGCUGGCGGCGUGCUUAAUACAUGCAAGUCGAACGGAAAGGCCCUGCUUUUGUGGGGUGCUCGAGUGGCGAACGGGUGAGUAACACGUGAGUAACCUGCUCUUGACUUUGGGAUAACUUCAGGAAACUGGGGCUAAUACCGGAUAGGAGCUCCUGCUGCAUGGUGGGGGUUGGAAAGUUUCGGCGGUUGGGGAUGGACUCGCGGCUUAUCAGCUUGUUGGUGGGGUAGUGGCUUACCAAGGCUUUGACGGGUAGCCGGCCUGAGAGGGUGACCGGCCACAUUGGGACUGAGAUACGGCCCAGACUCCUACGGGAGGCAGCAGUGGGGAAUAUUGCACAAUGGGCGGAAGCCUGAUGCAGCAACGCCGCGUGCGGGAUGACGGCCUUCGGGUUGUAAACCGCUUUCGCCUGUGACGAAGCGUGAGUGACGGUAAUGGGUAAAGAAGCACCGGCUAACUACGUG
This 468-nucleotide ribosomal RNA is filed under the name uncultured bacterium. RNAcentral describes it as "partial 16S ribosomal RNA". It matches the Rfam family "Bacterial small subunit ribosomal RNA", at positions 28 to 507 of the family's 1533-position model. The record is from RNAcentral.